This 399-nucleotide ribosomal RNA is filed under the name uncultured bacterium. RNAcentral's name for it is "partial 16S ribosomal RNA". It matches the Rfam family "Bacterial small subunit ribosomal RNA", at positions 360 to 774 of the family's 1533-position model. The record is from RNAcentral.
AAUAUUUGACAAUGGAGGGAACUCGGAUGCAGCAACGCCGCGUGAGUGAAGAAGGUGUUCGGAUCGUAAAACUCUGUCAUUGGUGACGAAUAAAUGACGGUACCCUUGGAGGAAGCCCCGGCGUACUACGUCCCCGCAGCCGCGGUAAUACGUAGGGGGCAAGCGUUGUCCGGAAUUAUUGGGCGUAAAGGGUGCGUAGGCGGCCUUUUAAGUCAGAUGUGAAAGCCCACGGCUUAACCGUGGGACUGCAUUUGAAACUGGAGGGCUUGAGUAUCGGAGAGGGUAGUGGAAUUCCCAGUGUAGCGGUGGAAUGCGUAGAUAUUGGGAGGAACACCAGUGGCGAAGGCGACUACCUGGACGAAAACUGACGCUGAGGCACGAAAGCUAGGGGAGCAAACA